UUGAACGCUGGCGGCAGGCUUAACCCAUGCCAGUCGAGCGGUAGCACAGGGGAGCUUGCUCCCUGGGUGACGAGCGGCGGACGGGUGAGUAAUGUCUGGGAAACUGCCUGAUGGAGGGGGAUAACUACUGGAAACGGUAGCUAAUACCGCAUAACGUCGCAAGACCAAAGAGGGGGACCUUCGGGCCUCUUGCCAUCAGAUGUGCCCAGAUGGGAUUAGCUAGUAGGUGGGGUAAUGGCUCACCUAGGCGACGAUCCCUAGCUGGUCUGAGAGGAUGACCAGCCACACUGGAACUGAGACACGGUCCAGACUCCUACGGGAGGCAGCAGUGGGGAAUAUUGCACAAUGGGCGCAAGCCUGAUGCAGCCAUGCCGCGUGUGUGAAGAAGGCCUUCGGGUUGUAAAGCACUUUCAGCGAGGAGGAAGGUGGUGAGCUUAAUACGUUCAUCAAUUGACGUUACUCGCAGAAGAAGCACCGGCUAACUCCGUG
RNAcentral lists this ribosomal RNA (489 nucleotides) under uncultured bacterium. RNAcentral describes it as "partial 16S ribosomal RNA". It matches the Rfam family "Bacterial small subunit ribosomal RNA", at positions 30 to 507 of the family's 1533-position model. The record is from RNAcentral.